Molecule: transfer RNA, 84 nt
Filed under: Alphaproteobacteria bacterium
Lineage: Bacteria; Pseudomonadati; Pseudomonadota; Alphaproteobacteria
Also listed under: 1 other name
Description: tRNA-Leu
Rfam family: tRNA
About the family: Transfer RNA (tRNA) molecules are approximately 80 nucleotides in length. Their secondary structure includes four short double-helical elements and three loops (D, anti-codon, and T loops). Further hydrogen bonds mediate the characteristic L-shaped molecular structure. tRNAs have two regions of fundamental functional importance: the anti-codon, which is responsible for specific mRNA codon recognition, and the 3' end, to which the tRNAs corresponding amino acid is attached (by aminoacyl-tRNA synthetases). tRNAs cope with the degeneracy of the genetic code in two manners: having more than one tRNA (with a specific anti-codon) for a particular amino acid; and 'wobble' base-pairing, i.e. permitting non-standard base-pairing at the 3rd anti-codon position.
Source: RNAcentral
GCCCCAGUGGUGAAAUGGUAGACGCGCCUGACUCAAAAUCAGGUACCGAAAGGUGUGGGGGUUCAAGUCCCUCCUGGGGCACCA